UCCAUAUUACGUGUGAGAUAUUCCGUGA
RNAcentral lists this small RNA (28 nucleotides) under Bombyx mori (domestic silkworm). RNAcentral's name for it is "ovarian small RNA-26934". Lineage: Eukaryota; Metazoa; Arthropoda; Insecta; Lepidoptera; Bombycidae. The record is from RNAcentral.